GGGCACUGAGGAAACGCUGGGGCACUCAGGAUACCAAGGGGCACUCAGCACACCAGGGAGUGCUCAGAACCACCAGGGGGCGCUGAGGAAACCCUGGGGCACUCAGCACAUCAGGGGGCGCUCAGAACCACCAGGGGGCGCUCAGGACAAUAGGGAGUGCUCAGAACCACCAGGGGGCGCUCAGCACACCAGGGGGCGCUCAGAACCACCAGGGGGCGCUGAGGAAACCCUGGGGCACUCAGCACAUCAGGGGGCGCUCAGAACCACCAGGGGGCGCUCAGGACAAUAGGGAGUGCUCAGAACCACCAGGGGGCGCUCAGGACACCAGGGGGUGCUCAGAACCACCAGGGGUCGCUCAGGACAAUAGGGAGUGCUCAGAACCACCAGGGGGUGCUGAGGAAACCCUGGGACACUCAGGACACCAGGGGGCACUCAGCACACCAGGGGGCACUCAGAACCACGAGGGGGCGCUCAGGACACCAGGGGGCGCUCAGAACCACCAGGGGGCGCUCAGGACAAUAGGGAGUGCUCAGAACCACCAGGGGGCGCUCAGAACCACCAGGGGUCGCUCAGGACAAUAGGGAGUGCUCAGAACCACCAGGGGGCGCUCAGAACCACCAGGGGGCGCUCAGGACACCAGGGGGCGCUCAGAACCACCAGGGGGCGCUCAGGACAAUAGGGAGUGCUCCGAACCACCAGGGGGCGCUCAGGACACCAGGGGGCGCUCAGAACCACCAGGUGGCGCUCAGCACACCAGGGGACGCUCAGAACCACCAGGGGGCGCUCAGGACAAUAGGGAGUGCUCAGAACCACCAGGGGGUGCUGAGGAAACCCUGGGGCACUCAGGACACCAGGGGGCACUCAGCACACCAGGGGGCGCUCAGAACCACCAGGGGGCGCUCAGGACAAUAGGGAAUGAUCAGAACCACCAGGGGGCGCUCAGGACAAUAGGGAAUGAUCAGAACCACCAGGGGGCGCUGAGGAAACCCUGGGGCACUCAGGACACCAGGGGGCACUCAGCACACCAGGGGGCGCUCAGAACCACCAGGGGGCGCUCAGGACAAUAGGGAUGAUCAGAACCACCAGGGGGCGCUGAGGAAACCCUGGGGCACUCAGCACACCAGGGGGCGCACAGAACCACCAGGGGGCGCUCAGGACACCAGGGGGCGCUCAAAACCACCAGGGGGCGCUCAGGACAAUAGGGAGUGCUCAGAACCACCAGGGGGCGCUCAGAACCACCAGGGGGCGCUCAGCACACCAGUGGGCGCUCAGAACCACCAGAGGAAACGCUGGGGCACUCAGGACACCAGGGGGCACUCGGCACACCAGGGGCGCUCAGAACCACCAGAGGAAACGCUGGGGCACUCAGGACACCAGGGGGCACUCAGCACACCAGGGGGCGCUCAGAACCACCAGGGGGCGCUGAGGAAGCCCUGGGGCACUCAGCACACUAGGGGGUCCUCAAAACCACCAGGGGGCGCUCAGGACACCAGGGGGCGCUCAGAGCCACCAGGGGGCGCUCAGGACAAUAGAGAAUGCUCAGAACCACCAGGGGGCGCUCAGAACAACCAGGGGGCGCUCAGCACACCAGGGGGCGCUCAGAACCACCAGGGGGCGCUCAGGACAAUAGGGAGUGCUCAGAACCACCAGGGGGCGCUCAGCACACCAGGGGGCGCUCAGACUCACCAGGGAGCUCAGAAACACCCGGGGGCUGGUGUAGGGAGCUCAGGACAGCAAGGGGCCUGCUCAGAUCAGCAGGGGGAACUCAGGACACCAGGGGGCGUUCAGAACCACCAGGGGGUGCUCAGGACAAUAGGGGGUGCUCAGAACCACCAGGAAACACUCAGUACAGCCGGGGGCGCUCAGACACAAGGGCUCCCUUAGGAGGCAGCUCCACAUUAGGUCCCUGCGGAGGGUGGGGUUUCCUGUUUGAACUUGCUAUUUUUUGACCUUGUAAAGAAAAGUUCUACCCCAGGAUCUCUUAGCACUUCUUCCUUGUAACUCACAUUUUGUCUUGUUUCAUUUUUUGGUUUUGGUCACCUACAAAAACUUAACCUUAGAACAGAGAUUCAACUCAAUUUAUAAUCCUCCAUAUUAUCACAGUAAUACUAGUGAUGACUGAUCAGUAUAAUUUUAAUAAUAAGAAUUGUGUAUCCUCAAUCCAAACUGUAUUUUCAUGCAAAGGUUUUUGUUUUCUUAGUUGUGUCAGCCACACAACUAUAAAUGCUUUUCUAUCAAUAACUCAGUAUAUGCAUGGUGUUGACUUUCUUUUACUUUCCUCAGCUGCUUAUGGAGCUGAAACACCACUUUAAGACCGGUUUUAUCUCUUUUGGUUGUUCCUGGUGAUCUGCUCCUCAGACUAUUCAUCCUCCUUCUCUUCUUCUGUCAAAGCCUUUUAUUUUCUUCAGUCUUUGUGUAAGGAAGCAGUAAGUGCCUUUCCUUUAUCUCUUCUAUAUCUGGGGUAUCAGUUCGCUUCUGAUGGUCAGUGCAACCAAUCAUGUUUACAAUGUUAAUAGUUCUUUUUAGAAGAUACGUAUUCAACUUCAGUCUCUCUUCCUUUCUCACUAUUUUCUAGGGUCCUGCAGACAUCACCCCUAUCCCACUUUGUUUUAAUCUGUUUCUGUUGACCCCAACAGUACCCAUAGAACACACGUUUAGGUAGAUUUGACUCCUGAAAAUAGUGGAGGAGGAUUCCAUAAUUCAGCAGUGCCUCCUGUUCUUCUCCUCAAGUAAACACAAAAGGACAGCAGUGGGGAAAUUGUGAAUUUUCCCCAAUCCUGUGGAAACAGCCAACAAGCACUAGGAACUUCACACUCUAACACCAUUAGCACAUAAAUCCUCAAGUAACAUAUUAAAAUUUCCAGGUUAGUCUUUUUCUAUCAGAAAUGCCAUCCAGUGGCAACAACCCAUAAUAUAUGGGUCUGGGUUAAAGAUGAAAGUGUGACAAUGCGCAGACUCUGUCUGAGGAGGAGAACACAGGGAAACUGAAAGUCAGUGGCAGAGAAUAAGACAAGGACAGUGGGGAAAUUUGAAGCCUCUGACGUACAUUUUUGGAACAAAAGGUCUUGGCAAAUCUGUUGACCUCAGAUUCUUUUAUCAUUGGGCAUUUUCAGGGUUCCUAGCUGAGAAAAAAAAUGCAUAAAACAAAGUGGGAUGGGGUGAUGUCUGCAGGACCCUAGAAAACAGUGAGGAAGGGAGAGAGACUGAAGUUGAAUAAGUAUCUUCUAAAAAGAACUAUUAACAUUGUAAAUAUGAUUGCAUGCACUUCCCAAAUCUCCACCUGUGUUCUGUUUGCCUCAGAUCUCUAAGAGAAAAAAGCCAUAAACCUAGGCCUUGUGUCUGUGUAGGAGGCUCAUUUUAUAGGCUAGAAAUUAGGAGGAAAGGAAAAUAUGUGUUAUUGGUACAGUAGAUACAGAGUUGGCUUUAUUCUGAAUGUAUCUGCACCCGCGGAUGUUCUCAGAUGCAACAUUCAACUGCAAGAGCCCAACGAAGAAACAAGGCACUCCCCAAAUCCUACAAGUUUUUGUAUUCACUGUGUGUUCACUGACUCAGGAAAUGUGAAACUUCAUAGAAGGGACUCCCUUCUGUGUCAUAGAAUCUUUGCUUCGGGUCUCCCUGUAGAGUUCAAUAGGUUUAUUAAGGCUAACCAAUUCUUAUAAGACGUGGUGUCAACAGUAUAUUGUGUCACUGAAGGAGUGACACAGCACGACACAGACACUCCAUGGUGGGCUGGAGACUGUGGGGAAAAAUGUCUGUGAGCCACCACGGCAACCUCACUGCAAGGCAAGGGCUUGGCUGGAGAGGGCACUCGGGAGCCACCAAGCACAGGUUCCAGCCCCAGAGCAGGUGCACAGGAGGUUGGAGAGAAGGCUCAGGGCCUGGGUCUUCCUUUGUCAGAAAAAAAACAAUCUAAAAUAACUCUUCAAUAGGUCACUGACGUGCCUUUAAAUGUCCUGCUACAUCCAAAACAUUCAUAUAACUUAAGGAAAUGAAAACUAUUUUUAAAGUGGGUUUCUAGGACUAUAAUAUCAUAAUAGUGAGACUAUAAAGGAAGGGCAUGUUAUUACUAAUUCAAAGGGUACAGACUAGUUGAAGAAACUAUAUUCCAAUAAAUAAGAAAUUCAUAGGAAUUUCAGACUUCAGUUUUAAGUAAUGUUGCCUGUGUUGUGUGAGUGACAGGGCAGUGGUGGAUCUGAGAGUGUGGCAGGUGCACAGACCUAGUGAGUCAGAAAUCAAUAUAUAAAGAUGAGGAUCUAUGGAUAUGAACUGGAAAUAUUUAAAUACUUCAUGAAAAUCUAAUAAACGGAGUUCAAAAAACAUAAGCCAAAAUUAUGGAGAACACAAAUUAGAGAGUUCAUAAAGAACUUCAAACUCCUGCUACAUCUUCUGAUUCCCAUGGUCCAUGAAAUGAGAAAAUCAGCUCUAAUUAUGCAUCACAGGGCCAAUCUGUAAACCAAGAGUGUUUCUCUUGAAGAGCCUGGGGGAUCAGACACCAGGCAGGUGCUGGAGACACUGUUUCCAGAGCACACAGCAGAUCUCAGGGCCUGCUGGACACUCAAGUGGGACAUCAGCAGUAACUUUCUGAGAGUCACCAGUGAGCUGUGCUGGUACCUGAUGGGUCCAGGAAAAGACCAAGGCACCUUCUCAGUGUCAUGGAGAAUGAUGGUCCCAAAAAUGAUCCAGGUGGUCUCUAUGCUAAUCAAAUGCAGGUUUGCAGUGAGGAGCCUGUUCUAUCUGGGCUUAUUCUUUAGUGAAAGGACCUCUGCCCACAAAUGUUUGUAAAUGGAGCAGGGUGUGCAUUUCCUCCAGCAGGAUUAGGGCUUGGACCAUCAGCAUCUCACUCUUGUGUAGCUGAUGUGUCACUUAUCUUCCCUUUCUUAUCAUGGAUCAGGCUUUGAGCUAUGAAAUGCUCUGUCUUAUGAAUAUGCAAAUAUGCUGAUAUCCACUGCAGUAAAUAUGUUCUGUGCUCUGAGAACAUCACUCAACAACUGCAUCCAACCUCAAGAGAAGCCCCUGAGAGCACAGUUUCUCACCAUGGACUUGACCUGGAAGAUCCUCCUCUUGGUGACAGCAGCCACAGGUAAGGGGUCCCCAGGUCUCAUUCUUGAGAAGCGAAUUGAGUCCAGUCAAGGGGACGUUCAUCCACUCCUGUCUUCUCUCCACAGGUGCCCACUCCCAGGUGCAGCUGGUGCAGUCUGGGGCUGAGAUUAAGCAGCCUGGGGCCUCAGUGAAGCUCUCCUGCAAGGCUUCUGGAUAUACCUUCACUAGCUACUACAUGCACUGGGUGAGACAGGCCCCUGGACAAGGCCUUGAGUGGAUAGGACUGAUCUCCCCUUACAAUGGUAACAAAGGCUACGCACAGAACUUCCAGGGCAGAGUCACCAUAACUACGGACACGUCCACGAGCACAGGCUACAUGGAGCUGAGCAGCCUGAGAUCUGAGGACACAGCCGUGUAUUACUGUACGAGAGACACAGUGUGAAAACCACAUCCUGAGAGUGUCAGAAACCCCAGGAAGGAGGCAGCUGUGCUGGCAUGGAGGAGAUGACAAAGAUUAUUAGAUUGAAGACUUUCUUAGAAAAUGACAUUAAGACAUUAAAGAAAAUGACCAAUAUCAAUGUGUAUUUGAGAAAUUUCAGUUAUUUGAGAUACUUAUCAUACAAAAUUUAUUCUGUAAGUAAAUUUCAGGGAUUGGAGAAUGAAUAAAAUUAACAAAUCUGAUACAGAACUUCCUCUGAAUCAAUCUUUGCAAACAUCAAUUUCUGAAUCAAUGUUGGAAAUAUUUUGAAACACAAAAGCAAGUUCACAUUUUAACUCUUUUAUCUCUAGUUAAGAAAUGCCAAAAAAUCUCAUGUUGUGCAUGUAACAUUUUGAAUUCCCACCGACAGUGCAUGAAAUUUCUUGGUUUUCCACAUUCAUAUUGCCAUUUAUCAUCAUGAGAAUUGUGAGUUUUAACCAUGUUAAUAGGUGAGUAGUGAUACCUAAUUUUUAUUUAAGUGCACAUGUCCCUAAUAAAAAAUUGUAUUUAACAAUUUUUAUAUAAUUUUUGGUGAGAUGGCUCUCCUGAUAGGUGGUUCAUUUUUGACUGCAUUGUUUUCUUUUGAUUAGUUGUAAGUUUACUUGUAUGUUGAUUAUAAAAGUCAUUUAACAAAUUAAAAUAAUUCAUUUAACAAAUAUGUGACUUGGAAGUAUUUUCUCCAAGUUUGUGGUUGCUUUUUACUCCCUUAUCGGUGGGUAUUGCAGAAAAAUAUGUGUGUGUGUGUGUGUGUGUGUGCACAAAUUUAGAUAAAAAACAUAAAAAAAUUAUUCAUUCAUAGAUCAUGUAUUUGGCAUUAUAUCUGGAGUCUCCUUAUAAAAUACACUAAUACUGAUUAUUUUUUACCAUGUCUCUUAUCUCAAUCAUGAGUGUUUAAACUUCACCUACUCCUCCAAUCAAGGAGGACUCUCCACCGGAGAUAUUUGGAACACUUCUGUAAGGAGAUGUGUUCUUCCCAUUAUUUCUUUACUUAAUCAUCUAUUAAUAUCCUUAUUGGUUUAUGGAUGUCUAUUUCAUAAUCUGAAGAAGAUCCAUGCUGCAUUAUUCAUUUUAGUGUUCAAAUCACCACAGCUUUGUUAGGUGCUGGGAGCUGAAUUAUUUUGGAUCCUGCAUCCUUACAGCACAGCUCAUCCUUUUGUUUUUGAACACUUCCCUGUUUCCUGGUGUUACAAUAGAUUCUAAGCUUAUUUUCUAUGUUACCUUUUUUUUGCACAUAGAAUCAGCCAUUUUUCCAAAGAUUGCUUGUUUCUAAUUUU
Molecule: long non-coding RNA, 6792 nt
Organism: Macaca mulatta (Rhesus monkey)
Lineage: Eukaryota; Metazoa; Chordata; Mammalia; Primates; Cercopithecidae
Source: Ensembl